This 258-nucleotide ribosomal RNA is filed under the name uncultured bacterium. RNAcentral's name for it is "partial small subunit ribosomal RNA". It matches the Rfam family "Bacterial small subunit ribosomal RNA", at positions 26 to 285 of the family's 1533-position model. The record is from RNAcentral.
AGGACGAACGCUGGCGGCGUGCUUAACACAUGCAAGUCGAGCGAGGCCCUUCCUUCGGGAAGGUGCCCUAGCGGCGAACGGGUGAGUAACACGUGGGCAACCUGCCCCUAGCACUGGGAUAACUCCGGGAAACCGGGGCUAAUACCGGAUAUGACCAUCGAGGGCAUCCUCGUUGGUGUAAAGGAUUCUGGCUAGGGAUGGGCCCGCGGCCUAUCAGCUUGUUGGUGGGGUAACGGCCUACCAAGGCGACGACGGGUA